This 769-nucleotide ribosomal RNA is filed under the name Salmonella enterica. RNAcentral's name for it is "bacterial LSU rRNA". It matches the Rfam family "Bacterial large subunit ribosomal RNA", at positions 593 to 1361 of the family's 2925-position model. The record is from RNAcentral. Lineage: Bacteria; Pseudomonadati; Pseudomonadota; Gammaproteobacteria; Enterobacterales; Enterobacteriaceae.
GUGACUGCGUACCUUUUGUAUAAUGGGUCAGCGACUUAUAUUCUGUAGCAAGGUUAACCGUAUAGGGGAGCCGGAGGGAAACCGAGUCUUAAUUGGGCGUUAAGUUGCAGGGUAUAGACCCGAAACCCGGUGAUCUAGCCAUGGGCAGGUUGAAGGUUGGGUAACACUAACUGGAGGACCGAACCGACUAAUGUUGAAAAAUUAGCGGAUGACCUGUGGCUGGGGGUGAAAGGCCAAUCAAACCGGGAGAUAGCUGGUUCUCCCCGAAAGCUAUUUAGGUAGCGCCUCGUGAAUUCAUCUCCGGGGGUAGAGCACUGUUUCGGCUAGGGGGCCAUCCCGGCUUACCAACCCGAUGCAAACUGCGAAUACCGGAGAAUGUUAUCACGGGAGACACACGGCGGGUGCUAACGUCCGUCGUGAAGAGGGAAACAACCCAGACCGCCAGCUAAGGUCCCAAAGUCAUGGUUAAGUGGGAAACGAUGUGGGAAGGCCCAGACAGCCAGGAUGUUGGCUUAGAAGCAGCCAUCAUUUAAAGAAAGCGUAAUAGCUCACUGGUCGAGUCGGCCUGCGCGGAAGAUGUAACGGGGCUAAACCAUGCACCGAAGCUGCGGCAGCGACGCUGAUGCGUUGUUGGGUAGGGGAGCGUUCUGUAAGCCUGCGAAGGUGACCUGUGAGGGUUGCUGGAGGUAUCAGAAGUGCGAAUGCUGACAUAAGUAACGAUAAAGCGGGUGAAAAGCCCGCUCGCCGGAAGACCAAGGGUUCCUGUCCA